CACAAGUCUGUAGCAGCCUGAACAACUCUUUUCUGUAUUUGAGAGCAGCGAAAGCAGCAGGCGGUUAACAGAUAAAAUCACUAGAGGAAAACACAACAGCAGAGAGACACAAGGAGACAGGAGAGAUGGAGAAAAAAACGAGUGUGAAUCCCGUGGCGCAGGAAAAAGUGGGCAAAUUAAAGGGAGAGGAAGACGGUUCAGUUCCCUCCUGUUUUUUAAUGUCUGGAGCAAGAUACAAGGCAGAUAAGGAGACCGACGCUGUGUUACGUGCACGGUGCAGACAUAUGGAGUUGAUCACUGCGCCUGUUGCUGAUGUUUUCUUUGGGAAUGCUGACAAGUUGACAGGCGAGGCGCAGCACUGACAUAGAGCCUCACUUCACUGUCCGGAUGAGAGAGACAGAGAAAUACUAGGAGAGAG
Oreochromis aureus is the source of this 418-nucleotide long non-coding RNA. RefSeq lists it as uncharacterized. Lineage: Eukaryota; Metazoa; Chordata; Actinopteri; Cichliformes; Cichlidae. The transcript is spliced from 3 exons. The record is from RefSeq and is a predicted model, not a curated record.